RNAcentral lists this ribosomal RNA (537 nucleotides) under uncultured Paracoccaceae bacterium. RNAcentral describes it as "bacterial SSU rRNA". It matches the Rfam family "Bacterial small subunit ribosomal RNA", at positions 171 to 742 of the family's 1533-position model. The record is from RNAcentral. Lineage: Bacteria; Pseudomonadati; Pseudomonadota; Alphaproteobacteria; Rhodobacterales; Paracoccaceae.
UUAUACGCCCUUCGGGGGAAAGAUUUAUCGGAGAAGGAUUAGCCCGCGUUAGAUUAGGUAGUUGGUGGGGUAAUGGCCUACCAAGCCUACGAUCUAUAGCUGGUUUGAGAGGAUGAUCAGCCACACUGGGACUGAGACACGGCCCAGACUCCUACGGGAGGCAGCAGUAGGGAAUCUUAGACAAUGGGGGAAACCCUGAUCUAGCCAUGCCGCGUGUGUGAUGAAGGCCUUAGGGUCGUAAAGCACUUUCGCCAGAGAUGAUAAUGACAGUAUCUGGUAAAGAAACCCCGGCUAACUCCGUGCCAGCAGCCGCGGUAAUACGGAGGGGGUUAGCGUUGUUCGGAAUUACUGGGCGUAAAGCGCACGUAGGCGGAUUAGUAAGUUAGAGGUGAAAUCCCAGGGCUCAACCCUGGAACUGCCUUUAAUACUGCUAGUCUUGAGUUCGAGAGAGGUAAGUGGAAUUCCRAGUGUAGAGGUGAAAUUCGUAGAUAUUYGGAGGAACACCAGUGGCGAAGGCGGCUUACUGGCUCGAUACUG